RNAcentral lists this ribosomal RNA (372 nucleotides) under uncultured bacterium. RNAcentral describes it as "bacterial SSU rRNA". It matches the Rfam family "Bacterial small subunit ribosomal RNA", at positions 28 to 394 of the family's 1533-position model. The record is from RNAcentral.
GAUGAACGCUAGCGGCAGGCUUAAUACAUGCAAGUCGAGGGGCAGCACGGUUAGCAAUAACUGGUGGCGACCGGCGCACGGGUGCGUAACACGUAUACAAUCUACCUUAAACAGGGGGAUAGCCUUUCGAAAGAGAGAUUAAUACCCCGUAAUAAAUUGAACGGCAUCGUUUGAUUUUGAAAGCUCCGGCGGUUUGAGAUGAGUAUGCGUCUGAUUAGCUAGUUGGUGAGGUAACGGCUCACCAAGGCGACGAUCAGUAGGGGAUCUGAGAGGACUAACCCCCACACUGGUACUGAGACACGGACCAGACUCCUACGGGAGGGCAGCAGUAAGGAAUAAUUGGUCAAUAGGAGGGCAACUCUGAACCAGCCA